UGAGGAAUAUUGGGCAAUGCCCGCAAGGGUGACCCAGCAACGCCGCGUGGAGGAUGAAUGUCGUAAGAUUGUAAACUCCUGUUAGAGGGGAAGAAUAGUACCGGUUGGACCGGUAUAUGACUGUACCCUCAGAGAAAGCCCCGGCUAACUACGCGCCAGCAGCCGCGGUAAUACGUAGGGGGCAAGCGUUGUCCGGAUUUACUGGGUGUAAAGGGCGCGCAGGCGGGAUAAAAAGUCAGUGGUGAAAUCCUACAGCUUAACUGUAGAACUGCCUUUGAUACUUUUAUUCUUGAGUUCGGGAGAGAGAGACGGAAUUCCAGGUGUAGUGGUGAAAUACGUAGAUAUCUGGAAGAACACCAGUUGCGAAGGCGGUCUCUUGGUCCGACACUGACGCUGAGGCGCGAAAGCGUGGGGAGCAAAC
Molecule: ribosomal RNA, 421 nt
Filed under: uncultured bacterium
Lineage: Bacteria
Description: bacterial SSU rRNA
Rfam family: Bacterial small subunit ribosomal RNA
Source: RNAcentral